GAGAGGCAGAGAAAGAGUGUGGAGAGGCAGAUAAAGAGUGUGGAGAGGCAGAGAGGGAGUGUGUGGAGAGGCAGAGAAAGAGUGUGGAGAGGCAGAGAGAGAGCGUGUGGAGAGGCAGAGAGAGAGCAUAUGGAGAGGCAGAGAGAGAGCAUGUGGAGAGGCAGAGAGAGAGCAUGCGGAGAGGCAGAGAGAGUGUGUGGAGAGGCAGAGAGAGAGCAUGCGGAGAGGCAGAGAGAGAGCAUGCGGAGAGGCAGAGAGAGAGCAUGUGGAGAGGCAGAGAGAGAGCAUGUGGAGAGUCAGAGAGAGAGUGUGGAGAGGCAGAGAGAGAGUGUGGAGAGGCAGAGAGAGCAUGCGGAGAGGCAGAGAGAGAGCAUGCGGAGAGGCAGAGAGAGAGUGUGGAGAGGCAGAGAAAGAGUGUGGAGAGGCAAAGAGAGAGAUUAUGUGGAGAGGCAAAGAGAGAUAUUAUGUGGAGAGGCAGAGAGAGAGCAUGCGGAGAGGCAGAGAGAGAGCAUGUGGAGAGGCAGAGAGAGAGCAUGCGGAGAGGCAGAGAGAGAGCGUGUGGAGAGGCAGAGAGAGAGCAUGUGGAGAGGCAGAGAGAGAGCAUGCGGAGAGGCAGAGAGAGAGCAUGUGGAGAGGCAGCGAGAGAUCGUGUGGAGAG
Long non-coding RNA from Oncorhynchus tshawytscha (Chinook salmon), 658 nucleotides. The record is from Ensembl. Lineage: Eukaryota; Metazoa; Chordata; Actinopteri; Salmoniformes; Salmonidae.